CUCAUUUAACUUGGCCUUUGGAAGACGCUUGUGGAAAUUUCUGCAAAGGAGGUGACAUCAGUUGUUGUCACAGCUGCUGUCUUUACAUUCUCAUUAAAUCAAAAAUGAUACCAGAACUGCAGAAGUAACAACUCAUCUGAAAGAUGGAGUCAACUGGAAAAAAGGAGAAAUGGCAGCAGUCAAUAAGAGAAAUCUGGGUCUUCUUCACUUCAGGCAUUCAGUAAGGAAGAGGAGACAGCACAGGAGUUCUCAUGAAUUUUCAGCAAUGAGUCCGUAUGGGAAUAAUUUCAUUGUAAGAAGAAGGCUUCCAUUCUAUCAUGAAAAAAGGCUGCAUGGAAAUGACGGAAAGCUACAGAAGAAACUAUCAGUCAUUGUUUGAAAGCAUUGUGGCCUAUGGAGAUGGAAACCAGAAUGUGGAUUUGCCUUCAAAUUUUAUAAGCUUCUAGAAACCCAAAUGAUGAGAAACAAAUGCGAAAAGUUCACAAAAGCAGUGGUUGCUUAAAAAAAAAUAAUUCUUAAAGCCCUGUUGCUUUUAUGAUGAACAGACUUAGCGAGAAGGAUAUUAAUUAUCUUGAAUACCAUUGUUUAAGCAGGUAGAGCUAUUCCCAGUAUUUUUUGGUUGCCACCUAGAUUAGUAUUAUACUCCUCAGUUGCUAACAAUGAAGUUAUCAGCCACUGGAACAAAUUAUUAAAAGGAACAGUGAGCUUACCAUUUCUUGAAGUCUGCAAACUGAGAGUGGAUGGUAUACUUUAGCAAACAAUGGAGACACAGCUGGGUGAAAUUAUAUGGUUGUACUAAAGAGAAGGGAACAUGAGAUAUUCUAUGUGGUCCUUUCUAGCCUUAAGAGCGAUAGGUUUAUAAUUUCACAAAUAUUGUUACAAAGAACUCCUCAGAAGUAGUGAUGACCAUAGCACCAGUCUGAAUCCAUCUCCUGAUUUGGGGUAGAUUAUUCCAAAGUAUUUUAAAAAAUUACAGACUGUAGUACUGUUUCUACAUGUUUCUGUCAUCACAAGUCAUACUACUAGCAUAAUUUUAAAAUAUUGGAAAUCCCUUUUUGAGGACUAGAGAGAUCCUUCCUCUCCCCUAAAGAGCUCAGUGUACUUCAGUGCAUGAAAGAGUCUAUAAAGUAAGCGUGCAUGCUGUUGCUUUCCUAUCUGAUGCAUUUCAGUCAUUGAAAUCUGAAAUAAAUAAGCUAGAUUCACUCAGUGAAAUAAAAGACAAUCCACGAAGGAAAUUCUAAGAUACUUCUCAUUAUUGUAGACCAUUUCUAAGCUAAACUUUGGUAUUCCUCUCCUUGUAAGGUGAUCUGGCACACUGCUUAAAAGAUUAUUUUUCUUUUUUUUUCCUAUAGCAGUCCUCCAGCUGAGAACAGCUAAACCAUUUUUUUCCCCCCAUAUUUCCAGUGUUUUGGAGCAUUGGGCACUGCAGAAACGUAAAUCUAGUGGGACAGUUGGAAUUUUGGGGAAGAUGUACCUGACUGAACAGCUGGACAUGAAAGGAAAUAGCUCUUCAAUGUUGAGAUGUAUUUUUCUUGCUGUAAAGAAAGAAGGAAUUAAGUGACUACAUGUUUGGCAGAAAGGCCUUGCCAUUUCAUGAUGGCUCUCAAACAUCAUCUUUAUAACUCCAUUGAACUGUUUCUCUGAUAAAAAAACCUGUAGCCUACACUACAAAGGGCUUUGAGUAUGUGUAUAGCAUAUACUGUUAUCAGCAAUCACCACCAUGGUCACAAAAGUUAUUCCCUCAGUAUGAUUGAACCAUCUCAUUAAUCAUAAGACAAAAUUACUCCAGUGCCAGUAUAUUUUCCAUCCACAGAGGUGGGUUUGGCAGCAUAGCUAGGACAGCAUAGUUGAUGUCCUAACUAACACUAGAAGAUCUGAAAAAACAUCAUGGUAUAGCUUUUCAACUAUUUCAGGGAAAACUGAUGAUUUUGUGUCCAGAAUGGAUAUGCAUAAUACCAGAGGCAGAUUUUUAGUUUUUAGAUUGUACUCAAUGGCCAGUUACCCUUGUUUCUGUGAAUGUCUAAAACUCUCUUUGUGGCUCACUUAUAUAUAUGUACAUUGUGCCUAAAUAAAUAUCUCAACUGUCCCUCAGCUGGAGGGCUCUUUGCAAGACAUGCUUUAGCCAAACAGUGUGUCACUCAGAUACAAUGAAGGGAGCACAAUACAAGAGAGCCCAGAUUGCUUUAUCAAGCAGUCUCUUCUGGUCUUAAGUUUCAUAAAUUUAUAACUUGUGCUGAUUCAAAUAUGUUCAACUUUCUCUUGCUACCAUGUUUUGUGCUCUUGAGAAAAGAUGACUGGAAAAGCUGGAUGCUGAAAAAGAGGAGUGACCUUUGACUGCUCUUAAGCUUUUCAAAUAUAUUAUCCUUUAAAAAAACCCACCAACCCAGUUUGUCACAACAGUUUCAGCAUCAACAGUGACUAAUCUGUUUG
This is a long non-coding RNA of Haliaeetus leucocephalus (bald eagle), 2430 nucleotides long. RefSeq lists it as uncharacterized. The transcript is spliced from 3 exons. The record is from RefSeq and is a predicted model, not a curated record. NCBI's taxonomy places the organism in Eukaryota, Metazoa, Chordata, Aves, Accipitriformes, Accipitridae.